This 2900-nucleotide ribosomal RNA is filed under the name Klebsiella pneumoniae. RNAcentral's name for it is "bacterial LSU rRNA". It matches the Rfam family "Bacterial large subunit ribosomal RNA". Lineage: Bacteria; Pseudomonadati; Pseudomonadota; Gammaproteobacteria; Enterobacterales; Enterobacteriaceae. The record is from RNAcentral.
UUAAGCGACUAAGCGUACACGGUGGAUGCCCUGGCAGUCAGAGGCGAUGAAGGACGUGCUAAUCUGCGAAAAGCGUCGGUAAGGUGAUAUGAACCGUUAUAACCGGCGAUGUCCGAAUGGGGAAACCCAGUGCAAUUCGUUGCACUAUCGUUAACUGAAUACAUAGGUUAACGAGGCGAACCGGGGGAACUGAAACAUCUAAGUACCCCGAGGAAAAGAAAUCAACCGAGAUUCCCCCAGUAGCGGCGAGCGAACGGGGAGCAGCCCAGAGUCUGAAUCAGCUUGUGUGUUAGUGGAACGGUCUGGAAAGUCCGACGGUACAGGGUGAUAGUCCCGUACACCAAAAUGCACAGGCUGUGAACUCGAAGAGUAGGGCGGGACACGUGGUAUCCUGUCUGAAUAUGGGGGGACCAUCCUCCAAGGCUAAAUACUCCUGACUGACCGAUAGUGAACCAGUACCGUGAGGGAAAGGCGAAAAGAACCCCGGCGAGGGGAGUGAAAAAGAACCUGAAACCGUGUACGUACAAGCAGUGGGAGCACCUUCGGGUGUGACUGCGUACCUUUUGUAUAAUGGGUCAGCGACUUAUAUUCUGUAGCAAGGUUAACCGUAUAGGGGAGCCGCAGGGAAACCGAGUCUUAACUGGGCGUUAAGUUGCAGGGUAUAGACCCGAAACCCGGUGAUCUAGCCAUGGGCAGGUUGAAGGUUGGGUAACACUAACUGGAGGACCGAACCGACUAAUGUUGAAAAAUUAGCGGAUGACUUGUGGCUGGGGGUGAAAGGCCAAUCAAACCGGGAGAUAGCUGGUUCUCCCCGAAAGCUAUUUAGGUAGCGCCUCGUGAACUCAUCUUCGGGGGUAGAGCACUGUUUCGGCUAGGGGGUCAUCCCGACUUACCAACCCGAUGCAAACUACGAAUACCGAAGAAUGUUAUCACGGGAGACACACGGCGGGUGCUAACGUCCGUCGUGAAGAGGGAAACAACCCAGACCGCCAGCUAAGGUCCCAAAGUCAUGGUUAAGUGGGAAACGAUGUGGGAAGGCACAGACAGCCAGGAUGUUGGCUUAGAAGCAGCCAUCAUUUAAAGAAAGCGUAAUAGCUCACUGGUCGAGUCGGCCUGCGCGGAAGAUGUAACGGGGCUAAACCAUGCACCGAAGCUGCGGCAGCGACACUAUGUGUUGUUGGGUAGGGGAGCGUUCUGUAAGCCUGCGAAGGUGACCUGUGAGGGUUGCUGGAGGUAUCAGAAGUGCGAAUGCUGACAUAAGUAACGAUAAAGCGGGUGAAAAGCCCGCUCGCCGGAAGACCAAGGGUUCCUGUCCAACGUUAAUCGGGGCAGGGUGAGUCGACCCCUAAGGCGAGGCCGAAAGGCGUAGUCGAUGGGAAACAGGUUAAUAUUCCUGUACUUGGUGUUACUGCGAAGGGGGGACGGAGAAGGCUAUGUUAGCCGGGCGACGGUUGUCCCGGUUUAAGCAUGUAGGCUGGUUGUCCAGGCAAAUCCGGAUAAUCAAGGCUGAGGUGUGAUGACGAGGCACUACGGUGCUGAAGUAACAAAUGCCCUGCUUCCAGGAAAAGCCUCUAAGCAUCAGGUAACAUUAAAUCGUACCCCAAACCGACACAGGUGGUCAGGUAGAGAAUACCAAGGCGCUUGAGAGAACUCGGGUGAAGGAACUAGGCAAAAUGGUGCCGUAACUUCGGGAGAAGGCACGCUGGUGUGUAGGUGAAGUCCCUGCGGAUGGAGCUGAGACCAGUCGAAGAUACCAGCUGGCUGCAACUGUUUAUUAAAAACACAGCACUGUGCAAACACGAAAGUGGACGUAUACGGUGUGACGCCUGCCCGGUGCCGGAAGGUUAAUUGAUGGGGUUAUCCGUAAGGAGAAGCUCUUGAUCGAAGCCCCGGUAAACGGCGGCCGUAACUAUAACGGUCCUAAGGUAGCGAAAUUCCUUGUCGGGUAAGUUCCGACCUGCACGAAUGGCGUAAUGAUGGCCAGGCUGUCUCCACCCGAGACUCAGUGAAAUUGAACUCGCUGUGAAGAUGCAGUGUACCCGCGGCAAGACGGAAAGACCCCGUGAACCUUUACUAUAGCUUGACACUGAACAUUGAGCCUUGAUGUGUAGGAUAGGUGGGAGGCUUUGAAGCGUGGACGCCAGUCUGCGUGGAGCCAACCUUGAAAUACCACCCUUUAAUGUUUGAUGUUCUAACGUUGGCCCCUUACCGGGGUUGCGGACAGUGUCUGGUGGGUAGUUUGACUGGGGCGGUCUCCUCCCAAAGCGUAACGGAGGAGCACGAAGGUUAGCUAAUCCUGGUCGGACAUCAGGAGGUUAGUGCAAUGGCAUAAGCUAGCUUGACUGCGAGCGUGACGGCGCGAGCAGGUGCGAAAGCAGGUCAUAGUGAUCCGGUGGUUCUGAAUGGAAGGGCCAUCGCUCAACGGAUAAAAGGUACUCCGGGGAUAACAGGCUGAUACCGCCCAAGAGUUCAUAUCGACGGCGGUGUUUGGCACCUCGAUGUCGGCUCAUCACAUCCUGGGGCUGAAGUAGGUCCCAAGGGUAUGGCUGUUCGCCAUUUAAAGUGGUACGCGAGCUGGGUUUAGAACGUCGUGAGACAGUUCGGUCCCUAUCUGCCGUGGGCGCUGGAGAAUUGAGGGGGGCUGCUCCUAGUACGAGAGGACCGGAGUGGACGCAUCACUGGUGUUCGGGUUGUCAUGCCAAUGGCACUGCCCGGUAGCUAAAUGCGGAAGAGAUAAGUGCUGAAAGCAUCUAAGCACGAAACUUGCCCCGAGAUGAGUUCUCCCUGAGACUUUAAGUCUCCUGAAGGAACGUUAAAGACGAUGACGUUGAUAGGCCGGGUGUGUAAGCGCAGCGAUGCGUUGAGCUAACCGGUACUAAUGAACCGUGAGGCUUAACCUU